AGUUCCUUGGAAAUCAGCUCUAGGACACAGCCCCAAGAAUGGCUCUGGCAGACCCCAGUACUCUACCUAUGACACUGUGCAGAAACUGGAGUCCCCAGAUAGACCUGAUUAAUACUAGCCAUGAAGAACAGUUCAUCUGUCUUAUUGGGAGUGGUCACAUGCUCUGGACUCACUUCAGCUCACUGGUUCCUGCUCCAUCACUGUGUGUCAUGAGGCAGAGCAUAUGAACCAGUGUGGUCCGUACCUUCUCUUUCAUGCAGAUAAAGGGGCAGAAGGGGAGGAUACAGCAGCCAAGGCCUGCUGCUUUCAGGUGUGAGGAAAUCUGCCAAAUGCUUCUUUUUGCGGCAGGGCCAGUGAGGCUGUGGAGUCGCCAGGGCUUUCUGGAGGCUGAUGGUCUGUGGAAACCAUGAAGCCAUUUCCUACAAGCCUUAGGCCAUCUGUGCACCUUCUGAACCCUGGCUGUAUCUCAGACAGCACUGCCAGAAAGGUGUAAAAGCUGCAGAGACACAAUUGCUGAGGCCUGAAGCAGCAGUAACAUCAGCUCCAUAUACUUUGGCUCUUUUCCUCAAUGGCCAAGUCGAACACCCCAAUGUGACACAUAGCAACUCCACCGUGUAAAUAUCAUGACAAGCUUCAUUAAUGCUUGGGGACACUAGUCUGCACUGGCAUUCUGUAGCACCUGACAGCAAGAUGGGGCUUCAACCAUGCCAACUCCCAUGCUUCCAUACAGUAAAACAACUAUAUGCACCCAGUCGUGAAUGACUUGUUUGUUCUUGUUGUCAUUGAUUUUAAUUACAAGUCCCUGUGAAAGAGCAGUGUGUGUGUCUCCACUGUACCAGGCUGCAGUAACA
Chelonia mydas (Green sea turtle) is the source of this 851-nucleotide long non-coding RNA. RefSeq lists it as uncharacterized. The record is from RefSeq and is a predicted model, not a curated record. Lineage: Eukaryota; Metazoa; Chordata; Testudines; Cheloniidae. The transcript has 2 exons.